UCUAAUGUGGCAGAAUAGUGCUAUGAAUUUAAGCUUCAUGAAUAAAGACCCCCCCUUUCUUUAGAA
RNAcentral lists this transfer RNA (66 nucleotides) under Maladera orientalis. RNAcentral's name for it is "tRNA-Leu". Lineage: Eukaryota; Metazoa; Arthropoda; Insecta; Coleoptera; Scarabaeidae. The record is from RNAcentral.